CGCGGGCGGAGGCUUCCGGGGCUGGGGGCGGUGCCACGUGCAGUGCCGGCGGCGCACGGCAGAGGGCGUAGAGGAGCUACCGCCGCCCUCCCGGAUCCCACGGCGCGGUCCGCGACGCCCGCCCUGCCGCCGCCUGGCCGAAGCCUCUCCAAGGCCAAGGCCACCCUCGGCCCCGCCCCGCCGCAACCGCCGCCCCGGAGUGUCGGUCGAAGAUCACCCUAGGCCCACGCCCUCUGCCCGCCCCGGACGCGCCACCCCUUCCUGGGCCUCCCUCCCUCCUUCCGCUCCAGGUCAGCCCCACAUUUCUCCCUGGAGCUCUGAGAGUCUUCCAGAAAAAGUUCCUGAGGAGAGCUCACUGCUGGAGGUCUUGGUCUCUCACACCCUUGGAGCUCAUCUACCCAAGUGAGGCUGAGUGCCCUCCGCCAGUGCAGACAGACCCAGUCCGUGUUGAUGCAAAACCAGAUGAAGAAAAUGAGGCCCAGGAUGGACCUUGUUCUAUCUGGAAAAAGACAGAAAAGGGACCUUAGGACUGGAAAGGCAACUAUAGGAGCAGCACCCCCCUGGUGGCGUUGGGGACCCAAGAAAGCAAAACAUCGGUGUUCAUCCCCAGGAUGAAGCAGGCUGCCUUGUCUGAGCCUGGGGUCUUCGCCAGAGGUGCACCUCAUCAAAGCCCCUGAGAUGCCCCUCCAGGGCCUGGUCCCUGCAGGAGAAACCAAGCUCUAAGGCAGAGGCAAAGGAGCCACACAGCUGCACCCUGCAAGCCUUCUGGAGUC
Molecule: long non-coding RNA, 773 nt
Filed under: Heterocephalus glaber (naked mole-rat)
Lineage: Eukaryota; Metazoa; Chordata; Mammalia; Rodentia; Bathyergidae
Description: lncRNA (ENSHGLG00000036912.1)
Source: RNAcentral